This 274-nucleotide ribosomal RNA is filed under the name uncultured bacterium. RNAcentral's name for it is "partial 16S ribosomal RNA". It matches the Rfam family "Bacterial small subunit ribosomal RNA", at positions 523 to 796 of the family's 1533-position model. The record is from RNAcentral.
AUACGGAGGGUGCAAGCGUUACUCGGAAUCACUGGGCGUAAAGGACGCGUAGGCGGGUUGUCAAGUCAGAUGUGAAAUCCUACAGCUUAACUGUAGAACUGCAUUUGAAACUGGCAACCUAGAGUAUGGGAGGGGGAGAUGGAAUUAGUGGUGUAGGGGUAAAAUCCGUAGAUAUCACUAGGAAUACCGAAAGCGAAGGCGAUCUCCUGGAACAUAACUGACGCUAAGGCGUGAAAGCGUGGGGAGCAAACGGGAUUAGAAACCCCAGUAGUCC